This 78-nucleotide transfer RNA is filed under the name Methylobacterium radiotolerans. RNAcentral's name for it is "tRNA-His". It matches the Rfam family "tRNA". Rfam says of the family: Transfer RNA (tRNA) molecules are approximately 80 nucleotides in length. Lineage: Bacteria; Pseudomonadati; Pseudomonadota; Alphaproteobacteria; Hyphomicrobiales; Methylobacteriaceae. The record is from RNAcentral.
GCCCCUUUUGCUUGUGUUGGUUAGAGCACCAGAUUGUGGAUCUGGGGGUCCCCCGUUCGAGCCGGGGCGGUGGUACCA